UAUGCACUUUCCAGUACAUCUACUAUGUUACGACUUAUCUCUCCUUAGAGAGAGAGUGACGGGCGAUAUGUACACAUCCUAUUACCUUAUUCAAAAAAUUAUUCUUAAAUUUUUUUACUAACAAAUCCACCUUCAGAGAAAAUUUAAUUUCUUAUCCGUAAUUUCUUAAAAAAUUGUAGCUCAUCAUUACCUUUAUAUUAACUGCACCUUGACCUGAAGUAAAAAAAUUAUUUUUAUUGAAAACAUUCUUAUAAAGUAAUCUGACAACGGAGGUAUACAAGCUUCACAAAAAAGGAAAGAUAUAACGGGGGUUAUCGAUUACAAGACAAGCUCCUCUGUUUGGUUAGGAUGCCGCCAAAACCUUUGGGUUUGAAGAACAACUUUUACUACCCUCGAAAAUAAUCUAAAAAUAGCAGGGUCUCUAAUCCUGGUUUCUCCUUUUAAAUUUUUUAAAUCCAUAUAUUUGAAAAAGUCAAAAUAUAUUAUUAUAUAAAUUUCACCUAAAAAAUAAAGAUAUUUUUACUAUAAAAAAAUAACAGUUAAUUAAAUUUAACAGCCUACUUUACUUGAACUCUUCGUCUAACCGCGACCGGUGGCACGAUU
Molecule: ribosomal RNA, 603 nt
Filed under: Simocephalus sp. EIZ-2011
Lineage: Eukaryota; Metazoa; Arthropoda; Branchiopoda; Diplostraca; Daphniidae
Description: partial 12S ribosomal RNA
Source: RNAcentral